GUCUUGGAUCGCUCAUGGCUCCUCCGAUGCUUGAUCACGAACACUUCUUUCCUCGGGUUGAUGUUUUCUUGUAUCUCUGCUUCGUUCUUGGGUUUUGAUUCUUCUACUUGGAGCUUCUUCGCCUGUGCUUCAGUCUCUGGUUUCAGAGGUUUAUCAAUGGCCGACUUGUUCGGAUCUGGGGAUACUCCACUCGGGGAAGAUGAUGAUGGAGAAGCCUUCUUGCUGAGGCAGCAACCCAUUUGUGAGAGAGAGUGUGUGAGAAAUUGGAUUGAUGAGAGAGAAGACAGAAACGAAAUUCAAAACUUCAAAUUCUGAGGAGAAGGAACAUUUUAAAAUGCUUUUAGUGGCAGAUAGAUACAGGUCGCUUUACUUUAUUAAUAUGGCUACUUACUUUCUAAAAUUACACAUAGCUCCCCCAAACACAAAAUCGCUCUUCAGUCAUGACUAGUGAGUCUUCAGAGCAUAUCAUUAAAAAUCUCAUGUUCUCAACUCAUAUAUAACUAAGAAAAACAUUAAAUUUAUCAAACUGAGUAUUUUAAAAUUAUAAGAUAUAUUGAUAUAAGUUUUUAAUUAUUUGAAGAUAUCAAUUACUAAAUAUUUAUAUUUUAUAUUCAUGCGUAGAUUUAAGUUAAACAUAUGCUCUUAUUGAACUAUACCCAAUCUGUGGACUAUAUUGAAAGUUUUGGAAAUUUUGAGGUGAAUUGAAAUAAACUUUUUUGGUCAAAGAGAGGUGAUAUUUGAAAUUUUCAACAGUUGGGCUACAAGAGAGCCGUUAUACGUGUAGAGCGAGAGACACAGAGGAGUCGAUGAUAAGGGUAUUUUUCCCACUUUGUCUUUUGAACUCCUUUGUCCAAAGGAAAAUCAUUUUUUAAUAUUUCAAAACAAUCUUUAUUUAAUUAUGUAAAUUAAAAUUUUCUAACGGCUAAAUGCAUGUUAUGUGUUUUUUGUCCGAUUAUGAAAAAGAAUCUGGGGAUGAUUUCUAUGGUAAUUAAAUAUCAAUGUUAUUCAGUGACAAUUGUUCUACAAAUAGACAAUACUGAACAACACACACAUUGACAAAAAAAAAAGAACAAACAACACAUUUUUGGUUUAUUUCUAUUUUUAAAUAACAAUGAAGUGUUCAAAAAAAAUAAAAAAAAAUAACAAUGCCUGGUUAGGAACUAGCCAAAGAACUAUGGUGGUUUGAAAUAAACCAAAAACAUAAGAGGCAGUGUGGGCAUUCUGGUUUAAUUUUGGGUCUGGUUUGGUUAAUUUAUGUUUGAUUAAACUGCAACAAUCUCACCCAAACUAAAUUUGGUUUAGUUCAAUUCGGUUUAAGUUGGUAUGGUUAUACAGUGAUUUUGUAUUAGUUGUGUUAGAAAUAAUUUAGUAAAAACUAGAAUAUGAAAGUCUAGUCGUAUGAAAUUUAUUGUAGCUAAAAAUCCAUUCAUUAAAAUCAAACUAUUCAACUAAGUAAACACUUAUAAGAACUAAGAAUUUGAAACAUUUAUUUUUUGUCGUAUAAAACAUCAGGGUUAGAAUUAAAGAAUAUAUAUAUAUAUAUAAUGUUAUACAUUUAUGAUAUUAAAAUUAAAAUUUGAAAGUUAAGAAAAAUAUAGAUAAACAUGGCUUUUAGUUAGAGAUUCCACAGAAUCCUCAUUGUAUAAUACAAUUAUUAAUAUAAAAUAAAUACAUUGGUUUGUUCGUUUGGUUUUCAGCGAACCAAAUUAUUUGGGUUGAGUAAAACUUCAACCGAUUGAGUUAUGUAUAAAGUAUGGAUUGAGUUGAGUUAAAUUUAAGACACUUGUCAUUUUUAAGACACUUGAAUAUUAAUUUUUAAAGAAAUAAGUUGGUAUGUUUCAAAAAAAUAAUAAUAAUAAUUAGUUGGUCCUCCUGAAUAUACUUCUGAACAUACAGUAAUAUAGUAGAAUUUUCAUUGAACUACUUGUAAAACUAAUUAUUAAUGUACACAAAUAUUCUUAUUUUUUUCUUAAAUAGAAAUUACAGUUACGUAAUGUGACUAAAAUGUACAUAACUUAAGCGGUUGAAGGUUUACUCAACCCAAAUAAUCAAGUGUCUUAAAAAUGACAAGUUUUUUAAAAUGUGGUUUUGCAGUUUUUGUUGGGAAAAUGCGUUUUUGACAGGAAAAUGAGUUUUUGCGUUUUUGGCAGAAAAAUGCAUUUGUUGUUUUGGCGAAAAAUGCAUUUUAUGGUUUUGGUGGAAAUAUGAUUUUCCAGUUUUGUUAUUUUUUGCGAGUGACAAAAUGAUAUUAGGUUUAUGAACGUAAUUUGUGAAUUAUAUAGGAGUAUAAUAAACUCAUCCAUAUGAAUCAUCUAGAUAAUUUGUAAUUUAAAGUGUAAGCAAACAAAACUCUCAUCUCCAUCCAGAUAGUUCAUCUGGAUGGUGAAACAAAAACCCCCUAGAUUAGUUUAAGGUUUAACUAGAGUUUGACUCGCACAUUCGUGCCGAUAUAUUUUUCAUUUUAUAAAUGUAUACAUUUGAUAUUAUCGUAACCAUUUUAAAUAUAUGAUUUACAUAUGAGUGUUAUAUAUUGUGUAACUUUAUAAUCUUAUUGUUUAGGUUUUUGGUUCAAGUCUCUGGUUUCAGAGGUUUAUCAAUGGCCGACUUGUUCGGAUCUGGGGAUACUCCACUCGGGGAAGAUGAUGAUGGAGAAGCCUUCUUGCUGAGGCAGCAACCCAUUUGUGAGAGAGAGUGUGUGAGAAAUUGGAUUGAUGAGAGAGAAGACAGAAACGAAAUUCAAAACUUCAAAUUCUGAGGAGAAGGAACAUUUUAAAAUGCUUUUAGUGGCAGAUAGAUACAGGUCGCUUUACUUUAUUAAUAUGGCUACUUACUUUCUAAAAUUACACAUAGCUCCCCCAAACACAAAAUCGCUCUUCAGUCAUGACUAGUGAGUCUUCAGAGCAUAUCAUUAAAAAUCUCAUGUUCUCAACUCAUAUAUAACUAAGAAAAACAUUAAAUUUAUCAAACUGAGUAUUUUAAAAUUAU
This 2985-nucleotide long non-coding RNA is filed under the name Brassica napus (rape). Its description in RNAcentral is "long non-coding RNA (BNAP_LNC016032)". The record is from RNAcentral. Lineage: Eukaryota; Viridiplantae; Streptophyta; Magnoliopsida; Brassicales; Brassicaceae.